GAUGAACGCUCGCGGCGUGCUUAACACAUGCAAGUCGAACGGAAAGGCCGAAGCUUGCUUCGGUACUCGAGUGGCGAACGGGUGAGUAACACGUGGGUGAUCUGCCCUGUACUUCGGGAUAAGCUUGGGAAACUGGGUCUAAUACCGGAUAUGACGAUCUCUUGGAUGGGGUUGUGGAAAGCUUUUGCGGUAUGGGAUGAGCUCGCGGCCUAUCAGCUUGUUGGUGGGGUAAUGGCCUACCAAGGCGUCGACGGGUAGCCGGCCUGAGAGGGUGUACGGCCACAUUGGGACUGAGAUACGGCCCAGACUCCUACGGGAGGCAGCAGUGGGGAAUAUUGCACAAUGGGCGCAAGCCUGAUGCAGCGACGCCGCGUGGGGGAUGACGGCCUUCGGGUUGUAAACUCCUUUCGCAAUCGACGAAGCCUUUUGGUGACGGUAGGUUGAGAAGAAGCACCGGCUAACUACGUG
This 468-nucleotide ribosomal RNA is filed under the name uncultured bacterium. RNAcentral describes it as "partial 16S ribosomal RNA". It matches the Rfam family "Bacterial small subunit ribosomal RNA", at positions 28 to 507 of the family's 1533-position model. The record is from RNAcentral.